GAUGAAGAACGUAGCGAAAUGCGAUAAGUAAUGUGAAUUGCAGAAUUCAGUGAAUCAUCGAAUCUUUGAACGCACAUUGCGCCCCUUGGUAUUCCAUGGGGCAUGCCUGUUCGAGCGUCAUUUGUACCUUCAAGCUCUGCUUGGUGUUGGGUGUUUGUCUCGCCUCUGCGUGUAGACUCGCCUCAAAACAAUUGGCAGCCGGCGUAUUGAUUUCGGAGCGCAGUACAUCUCGCGCUUUGCACUCAUAACGACGACGUCCAAAAGUACAUUUUUACACUCUUGACCUCGGAUCAGGUAGGGAUACCCGCUGAACUUAAGCAUAUCAAAAGCGGAGGA
RNAcentral lists this unclassified non-coding RNA (336 nucleotides) under soil metagenome. RNAcentral's name for it is "partial contains 5.8S ribosomal RNA, internal transcribed spacer 2, and large subunit ribosomal RNA". The stretch from base 1 to 120 matches the Rfam family "5.8S ribosomal RNA", at positions 35 to 154 of the family's 154-position model. The record is from RNAcentral.